This 22-nucleotide non-coding RNA is filed under the name Rattus norvegicus (Norway rat). Lineage: Eukaryota; Metazoa; Chordata; Mammalia; Rodentia; Muridae. The record is from RNAcentral.
AUCAUGUACUGUUGGCCUUUGU